Molecule: ribosomal RNA, 468 nt
Filed under: uncultured bacterium
Lineage: Bacteria
Description: partial 16S ribosomal RNA
Rfam family: Bacterial small subunit ribosomal RNA
Source: RNAcentral
GACGAACGCUGGCGGCGUGCUUAACACAUGCAAGUCGAACGGAAAGGGCCUGCUUUUGUGGGGUGCUCGAGUGGCGAACGGGUGAGUAACACGUGAGUAACCUGCCCUUGACUUUGGGAUAACUUCAGGAAACUGGGGCUAAUACCCGAUAGGAGCUCCUGCUGCAUGGUGGGGGUUGGAAAGUUUCGGCGGUUGGGGAUGGACUCGCGGCUUAUCAGCUUGUUGGUGGGGUAGUGGCUUACCAAGGCUUUGACGGGUAGCCGGCCUGAGAGGGUGACCGGCCACAUGGGGACUGAGAUACGACCCAGACUCGUACGGGGGGCAGCAGGGGGGAAUAGUGCGCAAGGGGCGGAAGCCGGGUGCAGCAGCGCCGCGUGCGGGAGGACGGCCGUCGGGUAGUAAAGCGCUUUCGCCUGUGACGAAGCGUGAGUGACGGUAAUGGGUAAGGAAGCACCGGCUAACUACGUG